Molecule: ribosomal RNA, 441 nt
Filed under: uncultured bacterium
Lineage: Bacteria
Description: partial 16S ribosomal RNA
Rfam family: Bacterial small subunit ribosomal RNA
Source: RNAcentral
CUACGGGCCGCUGCAGUCAAGAAUCUUCCACAAUGGGCGAAAGCCUGAUGGAGCGACGCCGCGUGACCGAAGAAGCCCCUUGGGGUGUAAAGGUCUUUUAUAAGGGACGAAUCAAUGACGGUACCUUAUGAAUAAGAGGCUGCUAAUCACGUGCCAGCAGCAGCGGUAAUACGUGAGCCUCAAGCGUUAUCCGGAUUUAUUAGGCGUAAAGAGUCUAUAGGCGGCUCGGCACGUUCUCUGUUAAAUCUCUAGGCUCAACCUAGAUAUCACAGAGAAUACGGCCUUGCUAGAGAUCGGAAGAGGCAGAUGGAAUUGCCGGUGUAACGGUCAAAUGUGUUAAUAUCGGCAAGAACACCAAAUGCGAAGGCAUUCUGCUGGGACGAUUCUGACGCUGAGAGACGAAAGCGUGGGGAGCGAAUGGGAUUAGAUACCCUGGUAGUC